GAUGAACGCUAGCGGCAGGCCUAAUACAUGCAAGACGAACGGUAAGUUGAGUAGCAAUACUUAGCCAAGAGUGUCGUACGGGUGCGUAACACGUAUGCAACCUACCCUAUACAGGAGGAUAGCCUAGGGAAACCUGGAUUAACCCUUCAUAGUAUUAUUGGAUGGCAUCAUUUGAUAAUUAAAACUGAGGUGGUAUAGGAUGGGCAUGCGUCUGAUUAGUUAGUUGGCGGGGUAAUGGCCCACCAAGACGAUGAUCAGUAGGGGUUCUGAGAGGAAGAUCCCCCACACUGGCACUGAGAUACGGGCCAGACUCCUACGGGAGGCAGCAGUAGGGAAUAUUGGUCAAUGGAUGCAAGUCUGAACCAGCCAUGCCGCGUGCAGGAAGAAGGCCUUCUGGGUUGUAAACUGCUUUUGCCAGGGGAUAAAAUUUCCAUGCGUAGAAAACUGAAGGUACCUGGUGAAUAAGCCACGGCUAACUACGUGCCAGCAGCCGCGGUAAU
RNAcentral lists this ribosomal RNA (500 nucleotides) under uncultured bacterium. RNAcentral describes it as "bacterial SSU rRNA". It matches the Rfam family "Bacterial small subunit ribosomal RNA", at positions 28 to 524 of the family's 1533-position model. The record is from RNAcentral.